Long non-coding RNA from Momordica charantia (bitter melon), 578 nucleotides. RefSeq lists it as uncharacterized. The record is from RefSeq and is a predicted model, not a curated record. NCBI's taxonomy places the organism in Eukaryota, Viridiplantae, Streptophyta, Magnoliopsida, Cucurbitales, Cucurbitaceae.
UGGGUAUCGAUUGGUGAGUUUUUUUUAUUGAUGCAAAAGCACUAAUAGCAGCAGUUUGUGGCUUUCGGCAUCUACCCAUAACCGUUACAAGCUCGACAUACGCAACCCACAUCCAUUCGAGUUAGGCCUGAGUUACCGGCACCUAAACGAAGUCRAUUUUGCGGUGUUGAAUCAAUGCAAGGUUUAGGAGCGUAGCAGGGUGUAAGUAGUACCAGGGGGGUGUGUGCAUUGUUGUGUKCUGAUAGAAAUGGUUCUUGCUGACUGUUUUUGUGUAAACAGGACCCUCAACUGUGGUGAUGACGUGGAGGAGGCUUGACAGGGGGAGGACCACUAGCUGCGUUUUUGUCUAGGAUAUCUGAAUUGUAGUUUCAUUGCUAGGAGCGUUAGAGACUUAUUGAUGGUGGUGUACUAGAUAUUGGUUUUGACUCACGGAACGUUUUUCUUCUUUUUGGGUGAAUCGUUGUUUUUUUUUAUUAUUUGAGUCUCUGGUGUAUUUUGGGUUGUUGGACCAAUUGAUUGUUCCUUUUCUCCUAUUGGAUUACUAGCCACUGAGGCAGACAUACGUUCUUUAGGUAAAA